CUUCGCACUGAUGCCAGAUAAGGUAAUCCUCUGCUACAUAUGCAGCUGGAUCCAUGGACUGGCCCAUGUAUAUAUACUCUUUGGUUGGUAGUUUAGUGCCUGGGAGUUCGGAGGGGUCCAGUUAGUUGAUAUUGUUGCUCUUCCUAUGGGGUUCCAAACUCUUUCGGCUCCUUUAGUCCUUCCCUAUCUCUUCCUUUGGGGUCCCUGGCCCCGGUAUCGUGGUUGGCUGUUAGUGUUUGCAUCAGUCUUUUAAAGUUAAUUGUUAACACAGUCCUAAUCCUAACCACGAAGCUAUUUCCAAAUAGGAUGACUAUUUGCAAAAAGACAGUAUGUUCCGUCCAAUAAAAGGUAACUGGGUAUAACGACAACACUCCAGACCGGGUACCAUUGCCUGGAGUAGUUGUCAAAACGAACUGCAUUAACCGGAAGCCUUUGGAGCAUUCAAACUUGAGUGAAAUGUCUUCAUCAAACUCCUCCACUUAAGGCGUGGAAGAGGAAGUAGAAAGACUGUAACACACAGACGUGAAGAAUGGCUGCAAAGAAAUAUUAUUUUCCGGAAGCAGCAAGGUUGAUGCCCAUAGGAGCACACAGACACAGACGAAACACAUAGAAGACCUACCCGGAACCAAGAUGGGGUCCCAGCACCAAGAUGAGGAUUAGACGUGGAGUCCCAAUCCCAACUAUGAAACUAUUUCCAAUGGAUGACUAUUUGCAAAGGGACAUUAAGUUUCCUCCAAAUAAAGUGUCACUGCCAAGUAUACAAGGUUUCAGACCAGGUCCCAUUGCCUGGAGUAGUUGCCAAACACAAAAUGAGCUCAAUGAUUUUUGGAGUGGCCUUUUGUUUGCUUGUUUCAUUUUGUUUAGUUUUGUUUGGUUUUGGCAUGAUUUUAUUGUGUCUGGCUGGUUUUUUGCUUGUUCGUUUUGAUGUUGCCCUAUUGUAUUUUUUUUUUUGAAUGGGGUUUAUUUCCUUUUUGUUUGUGUGUUGUUUUGUUUCUGAAUGAAUGAAUGAGAAAGAUCAUAAUGUUGGGUAAAUACAAAGGUGGAGAGGAUCUGAGGGAAGUAUGCAUGAGGAAGAAUAUGAUCAGAAUACUGCAUAAAAACUUUUUAAUUAAAUAAAAUGAACACUUUUACUUAGCAUGCAUAUAACUAUAAAUUGUGUUGAAUCAAAACUGUAAGUCUUUCAACAAAACUUAAAUUUAGUAUUUUUUUAAAUUUAAUUAAUUUUUCUCUUACUUAUUCAUCUUACAUCCUGCUCAUUUUCCCUCUUCCUGUCAUUCCCCCCAACAAUCCCUCUCCCUCCCUUCUCUCAUUGUCCUCUCAUGUCCCCUCCCCAGCUCCAUAUCCAUCUCAAACAGUAAAAAUACAUAUGAACAUUAUAAAUGUACACAUCACCUGAAAUUGGAUACAUUUUCUAUGCACUAUUCAUGAGUUAUGGUAUCUAUUCAUACAAUGUAAACUAAAUAGAAAAGUAAACAGUAUGACUUACUUUUCCUCAGAACUGUGAUUAAGUGAAGGCCUAAGGUUUGGUGAUCCCACUGCAUAACCCAGACCAUAUCCCAGUACGAAUGAAGCAUCUGCAAUACCUUGAAAAUGAAAAGAAGGACUAAAGAGCUUCAAAAUUUAACGUGUUAAAAAGAGUCUAAACUAUCUGCAAUAUUUGAAAACUUUUCAUGCUAUUCUCUAUUACUUGACAAAGAGAAGAUGGGUAGGAAAAGAGGAAGAAAGGGGGAGGCGUGAAAGGGGGAGGGAAAAACUAUAAAUAAUUUCUGGAAUUGACUCUAACAAAUCCAAAUUAGUAGGGCAGGAAGCUCAUGAGAAAGUCAUGCAAGAGUUGAUGCUCUCUUACGGUUGCUGCUAGUCCUGCGACAUUGCCUCUUUGGGAACAAUCAGUCUGCCCUGUGAGGACUCUACAUUGCUUGAAUGAGACCUGUUUUUGUCAUAAAGGUCAUCUGCCUUACUCAGUGUCUACUGACUGUGAAUGUUAAUCAUAACUAAGACCACAUCAGAGAGCCAUCUAGACUACUUUCUGAUACUACAAUUGGUUCCAUAUCUUCUGACCUAACCAAGUUAUAGAUGAGGAAACAAAAAUCUUACCGAAAAUUGCUUUUACAGAGUGUUUCAAAAUUCUGAGCGGAAACCAGCAUGUGACGGCAAUGCUGUUUUCAAGUUUGUUUUAAUCUUGAAAAAGAUUCAGCCUAGAACCUAAGAUGGUCAACAAAAAACAGUGAGCGAACUUAGUAUCGCCUUCUCCUCAGUUCUCACUGGAGGCAAGAAGCUGACACCCACAAUGUCAGGAGUGUACCCUGCCAUGCAGGCGGCCAAAGACCUGGAAUAACAAGAACUGUGCUCCCCGACUUUUAUUCCACUCACGCCUGGAAAACAAGCCAGAGAUCACAUACCUGCUCCCUCUCAGCCAUGCCAACCUCGCUAUUCGACUUACCAGAGCUAUCCUACUCCUCCAACUUACCUUGAGCUAGGGUCAAUAUACAGAACGAGAUAAGAAAGAAGUUGAUGUUGUUGAAACGCUGCAAAGAAGGGACAACCAGAGACCCCAAGCCGAAUGGCCCAUCCAAGUCAGUUGGUAUUUUAUCUGAUAACUGUGACGAGGUUUCAGAGUUAGCAUUUUGGAGGCCUGUAACAUCUGACAUGGCAGCUGAAAGGCGUAUCUGAUAAGGGAAUACUCUGAUGUGUUCUUGAUCAUCGUCAGUCCACUCUUCCUUGGGAGGCUCCGCGCUGCUGUCCAUCCAAGCCUCUGCAGUGAUGUCCGCCAGAGCCUCUGCAGUGAUGUCCACUGGAGCCUGUGCAGUGAUGUCCACCGGAGCCUCUGUAGUGAUGUCCACCGGAGCCUCUGUAGUGAUGUUCACCGGAGCCUCCAAAGUAUUAUCUUUCCGGGCCUUCGCAGUACUGGCCUGCCUUUGUUCCAAGUUCCGCUCCAUGGCUUAUCCGAAGCAGGGCUGUGCAGGUGUUUCAAGGCACCUGUGUACUCCCUGGCUUCAGGUGUCUAAUGCUGUCGCUGACACUCUAACCUCUGCAGGGAACGUUACUUCUAGG
This is a long non-coding RNA of Rattus norvegicus (Norway rat), 3051 nucleotides long. RefSeq lists it as uncharacterized. The record is from RefSeq and is a predicted model, not a curated record. NCBI's taxonomy places the organism in Eukaryota, Metazoa, Chordata, Mammalia, Rodentia, Muridae.